This 517-nucleotide ribosomal RNA is filed under the name Aminobacter aminovorans. RNAcentral's name for it is "bacterial SSU rRNA". It matches the Rfam family "Bacterial small subunit ribosomal RNA", at positions 123 to 674 of the family's 1533-position model. Lineage: Bacteria; Pseudomonadati; Pseudomonadota; Alphaproteobacteria; Hyphomicrobiales; Phyllobacteriaceae. The record is from RNAcentral.
AAUCUACCCAGCUCUACGGAAUAACUCAGGGAAACUUGUGCUAAUACCGUAUACGUCCGAUAGGAGAAAGAUUUAUCGGAGUUGGAUGAGCCCGCGUUGGAUUAGCUAGUUGGUGGGGUAAUGGCCUACCAAGGCGACGAUCCAUAGCUGGUCUGAGAGGAUGAUCAGCCACACUGGGACUGAGACACGGCCCAGACUCCUACGGGAGGCAGCAGUGGGGAAUAUUGGACAAUGGGCGCAAGCCUGAUCCAGCCAUGCCGCGUGAGUGAUGAAGGCCCUAGGGUUGUAAAGCUCUUUCACCGGUGAAGAUAAUGACGGUAACCGGAGAAGAAGCCCCGGCUAACUUCGUGCCAGCAGCCGCGGUAAUACGAAGGGGGCUAGCGUUGUUCGGAAUUACUGGGCGUAAAGCGCACGUAGGCGGAUUGUUAAGUUAGGGGUGAAAUCCCAGGGCUCAACCCUGGAACUGCCUCUAAUACUGGCAAUCUCGAGUUCGAGAGAGGUGAGUGGAAUUCCGAGU